RNAcentral lists this ribosomal RNA (362 nucleotides) under uncultured bacterium. RNAcentral describes it as "bacterial SSU rRNA". It matches the Rfam family "Bacterial small subunit ribosomal RNA", at positions 27 to 383 of the family's 1533-position model. The record is from RNAcentral.
GAUGAAACGCUAGCUACAGGCUUAACACAUGCAAGUCGAGGGGCAUCAGUUUGGUUUGCUUGCAAAACCAAAGCUGGCGACCGGCGCACGGGUGAGUAAACACGUAUCCAACCUGCCUCAUACUCGGGGAUAGCCCUUCGAAAGAAAGAUUAAUAUCCGAUAGCAUAUAUUUCCGCAUGGUUUAUAUUAAAGAAAUUCGGUAUGAGAUGGGGAUGCGUCCCAUUAGUUUGUUGGCGGGUAACGGCCACCAAGACUACGAUGGAUAGGGGUUCUGAGAGGAAGGUCCCCACAUUGGAACUGAGACACGGUCCAAACUCCUACGGGAGGCAGCAGUGAGGAAUAUUGGUCAAUGGACGCGAGUC